Molecule: long non-coding RNA, 351 nt
Organism: Lagopus leucura (white-tailed ptarmigan)
Lineage: Eukaryota; Metazoa; Chordata; Aves; Galliformes; Phasianidae
Exons: 3
Source: RefSeq, a predicted model, not a curated record
GGAUCUCUUGUUUUGCAGCCAACAGAGGAAGCGGGGCGGCCGGCAGCUCGCAGACCGGCGACGCACUGGGGAAAGCACUUGCAUCUAUCUAUUCUCCAGAUCACACCAACACCAGCUUCCCAUCCAACCCUUCAACUCCUGUCGGUUCUCCCCCUUCUCUCUCAGCAGGCCCAGCUGUUUGGUCUAGAAACGGAGCUCAAGCGUCAUCAUCUCCCAAUUAUGAAGGUCCCUUACACUCUUUGGUAGGUUGCCAUCGACGGCCCUCCUCUUCCUCCUGCUCGGGCUUCAUGAAUUGCUCCUCCUUGUUUGUUCCGUUUCUCAUCCAUCCCCUCUUCCUCCCCCCCUUUUCCC